AGCGAACGUUUGCGGCGGGCCUAACACAUGCAAGUCGAACGGGCUAGCAAUAGUCAGUGGCGCACGGGUGCGUAACACGUGGGUAAUCAACCCUUCAGCUCGGGAUAACGCCUUGAAAGGGGCGCUAAUACCGGAUGCGACGCGAGGAGCCUCGGCGCUUCGCGGGAAAGAUUCGCAAGGAUCACUGAAGGACGAGCCUGCGGCCCAUCAGCUAGUUGGUGAGGUAAGAGCUCACCAAGGCGAAGACGGGUAGCUGGUCUGAGAGGAUGAUCAGCCACACUGGAACCUGAGACACGGUCCAGACUCCUACGGGAGGCAGCAGUGGGGAAUACUUGCGCAAUGGGCGAAAGCCUGACGCAGCCACGCCGCGUGAGCGAUGAAGGCC
Molecule: ribosomal RNA, 385 nt
Filed under: uncultured bacterium
Lineage: Bacteria
Description: bacterial SSU rRNA
Rfam family: Bacterial small subunit ribosomal RNA
Source: RNAcentral